UUCCUCUUGGCUGUGGAGCCACAUGAGUGACGGUGAGCUGGAACCAGAAGAAAACAGGGACUGAAGCCAGUCUUGACAAUACAGAAAUUCAUUGAGGACAGUUCAUGAACACCUACAUGCACCACCGGAGUCCAUGCCAGCCCCUGUCCUCCCACCUGCCCACCUCUACUCACAUUCAUCCCUAGGAUACCUGGAUGCCUUUCAAGGCAAACUGCAGAUCAAGUGUUUGGACAUGUUGGGGGCUUAUUGACCCUGGAAGAUGGCCUUCCUGGUUACCAAUUCUUAGAGAGAGCAAAGGAUACCCUUGGAUGUCACCUGAACCGCUCAGUACCUGUCCUAAUCACCCCUGAGCCAGGUACAGACAUCUGGGGACAGCUGCUCAGGGAACUCAAGAUGGAAGAUCCUCAGCCUGCUGACCACCACUCCGGUCCUUCUGUGAAAACCACACCACAGACUCCUGUCUGCAGUGCCCUCCCUCUGCCCCCUGGUUGCCCUGCGCAUCCCCCUGGCCUGCCUGAGGGGCCUCCUGCUUCUAGCACUCUGUGAGAACAAACCUCUUCCUUACCACAGUGUUCCGUUCCCGAUUAAAAGAAACUCCAGGUGUCUUUUAAGAAGAUUCCUGGUGUCUCAUGAUAAAAGUAAACCAAUCUCAGAAACAUUCUCACUCAUGAGAGUGAGACCACACAUGGGAGAUGGUUGCGGAGUCUGCAGUGCAGAGGGCUUGGCUUCUCCAUCG
Long non-coding RNA from Chinchilla lanigera (long-tailed chinchilla), 736 nucleotides. RefSeq lists it as uncharacterized. The record is from RefSeq and is a predicted model, not a curated record. The transcript is spliced from 3 exons. NCBI's taxonomy places the organism in Eukaryota, Metazoa, Chordata, Mammalia, Rodentia, Chinchillidae.